This 103-nucleotide non-coding RNA is filed under the name human gut metagenome. RNAcentral's name for it is "TPP riboswitch (THI element)". The stretch from base 8 to 92 matches the Rfam family "TPP riboswitch aptamer (THI element)", at positions 11 to 88 of the family's 105-position model. Rfam says of the family: Vitamin B(1) in its active form thiamin pyrophosphate (TPP) is an essential coenzyme that is synthesised by coupling of pyrimidine and thiazole moieties in bacteria. The record is from RNAcentral.
UUUAUCAAGGGGGGCUGGAUUUUUCCGGCUGAGAUGAAGCUAAUCGAGGCUUCGGACCCUGGAACCUGAUCCGGGUAAUGCCGGCGUAGGAAACAGAGUAUCG